UCGAGAAUCAUUCGCAAUGGGCGCAAGCCUGACGAUGCGACGCCGUGUGUGCGAUGAAGGCCUUCGGGUUGUAAAGCACUUUCGCUUGGGAACAAGAGAGGCUGGCUAAAAUCCAGCUAAUUUGAGGGUACCAGGUAAAGAAGCACCGGCUAACUCCGUGCCAGCAGCUGCGGUAAUACGGAGGGUGCAAGCAUUAAUCGGAUUUAUUGGGCGUAAAGGGCGCGUAGGCGGGUAGACAAGUCAGAUGUGAAAUACCGGAGCUCAACUUCGGAACUGCAUUUGAAACUGUCUGUCUAGAGGGUAGGCGGAGAAAAUAGAAUUCCACAAGUAGCGGUGAAAUGCGUAGAUAUGUGGAAGAAUACAGGUGGCGAAGGCGAUUUUCUAGCUUAUACCUGACGCUGAGGCGCGAAAGUAAGGGGAUCAAACAGGAUUAGAUACCCCCGUAGUCC
Molecule: ribosomal RNA, 449 nt
Filed under: uncultured bacterium
Lineage: Bacteria
Description: bacterial SSU rRNA
Rfam family: Bacterial small subunit ribosomal RNA
Source: RNAcentral